This 387-nucleotide ribosomal RNA is filed under the name uncultured bacterium SA28. RNAcentral describes it as "bacterial SSU rRNA". It matches the Rfam family "Bacterial small subunit ribosomal RNA", at positions 1132 to 1515 of the family's 1533-position model. The record is from RNAcentral.
CGGGCACUCUGAAGAAACUGCCGGUGACAAGCCGGAGGAAGGUGGGGAUGACGUCAAGUCCUCAUGCGCCUUACGGGCUGGGCUACACACGUGCUACAAUGGCGGUGACAGUGGGUUGCGAUCCCGCAAGGGGGAGCUAAUCUCAAAAAGCCGUCUCAGUUCGGAUUGCAGUCUGCAACUCGACUGCAUGAAGUCGGAAUCGCUAGUAAUCGCGGAUCAGCAUGCCGCGGUGAAUCCGUUCCCGGGCCUUGUACACACCGCCCGUCACACCAUGGGAAUUGGGUUUACCCGACGACGGUGCGCUAACCUGGCAACAGGAGGCAGCCGGCCACGGUAGGCUCAGUGACUGGGGUGAAGUCGUAACAAGGUAGCCGUAGGGGAACCUGC